This 365-nucleotide ribosomal RNA is filed under the name uncultured Streptococcus sp. RNAcentral's name for it is "bacterial SSU rRNA". It matches the Rfam family "Bacterial small subunit ribosomal RNA", at positions 13 to 368 of the family's 1533-position model. Lineage: Bacteria; Bacillati; Bacillota; Bacilli; Lactobacillales; Streptococcaceae. The record is from RNAcentral.
UUGAUCCUGGCUCAGGAUGAACGCUGGCGGCGUGCCUAAUACAUGCAAGUAGAACGCUGAAGCUUGGUGCUUGCACCGAGCGGAUGAGUUGCGAACGGGUGAGUAACGCGUAGGUAACCUGCCUCUUAGCGGGGGAUAACUAUUGGAAACGAUAGCUAAUACCGCAUAAAAGACGAUAUCGCAUGAUAUUGAUUUGAAAGGUGCAAUUGCAUCACUAAGAGAUGGACCUGCGUUGUAUUAGCUAGUUGGUGAGGUAACGGCUCACCAAGGCGACGAUACAUAGCCGACCUGAGAGGGUGAUCGGCCACACUGGGACUGAGACACGGCCCAGACUCCUACGGGAGGCAGCAGAAGGGCGAAUUCGU